CUUCAUUAUUCUUUUGCCUUUCUUGAGCCAUUUACAAUUUUCUUCUUUGUGAAGCUGACAAUUUGCUCCAUUUUGUGUAUUCCUCCUGUUUGUUCUGAUAAGUGUUGUCCCUAGACCACAAGCAUGCUAGUGGUUGUGGUAGGGAAAGUGUGUUUAAAUUCCUUUUGUAGCAAUAGGGGAGAUUUCUCCCCAGUUAAUGAGGCUCUUGGCCAGGUUCUCUAUGUACCAUACUGCACACAGAAUCUUUUGCAGUUAGAUCCUUAAUAAAUGCCAUUUGAAAAGGCAAAAUGUCUUUCUCAAGUCAGACCCUUAGUAAGCAGUGAGACCCUUUCUACAAAGAACACAUUUUCAUCCAAGUAUUUCCUUCAAGGGAAAUAGUUACUUUUGAUUCUGGGAAGCAAUUUGUGUAGCAAGAGAGGGGAACCAAAGAAGGAGAUAGCACUGAAAUCUAGUUCCCACUGGAAGCCACCAUCCUCACCCAAAACACACACAUACACACAGAGCCUGGCUAUUCUUCUGCUAAUGGGAUUGGCACCGUUUAAAGCAGUCUGCGAGGGCAUUGUCUGCAACCACAGCAAGAGAAACAUUAUUCAAAGGCCAUUCAGAUCCGAAAAGAAGCGGCCCGAGCAGAAGGCUGCUUUUAGAGAAACUGACAGUAAAGCCAGAAGUUACCAUAUUGCAAACUGA
Molecule: long non-coding RNA, 687 nt
Filed under: Phascolarctos cinereus (koala)
Lineage: Eukaryota; Metazoa; Chordata; Mammalia; Diprotodontia; Phascolarctidae
Description: lncRNA (ENSPCIG00000030734.1)
Source: RNAcentral